GACGAACGCUGGCGGCGUGCUUAACACAUGCAAGUCGAACGCUGAAGCUCAGCUUUUGUUGGGUGGAUGAGUGGCGAACGGGUGAGUAACACGUGAGUAACCUGCCCCCUUCUUUGGGAUAACGCCCGGAAACGGGUGCUAAUACUGGAUAUUCACUGUUCUUCGCAUGGGGGUUGGUGGAAAGGGUUUUUCUGGUGGGGGAUGUGCUCGCGGCCUAUCAGCUUGUUGGUGGGGUGAUGGCCUACCAAGGCUUUGACGGGUAGCCGGCCUGAGAGGGUGACCGGUCACAUUGGGACUGAGAUACGGCCCAGACUCCUACGGGAGGCAGCAGUGGGGAAGAUUGCACAAUGGGCGCAAGCCUGAUGCAGCGACGCCGCGUGAGGGAUGGAGGCCUUCGGGUUGUGAACCUCUUUCGCUCAUGGUCAAGCCGCAACAAUGGUUGUGGUGAGGGUAGUGGGUAAAGAAGCGCCGGCUAACUACGUG
Molecule: ribosomal RNA, 483 nt
Filed under: uncultured bacterium
Lineage: Bacteria
Description: partial 16S ribosomal RNA
Rfam family: Bacterial small subunit ribosomal RNA
Source: RNAcentral